GCAGGCGGUUGGUCGGGAUCAUUGGGCGUAAGCGCGUGUAGGCGGCUUGGCAAGUCGGUUGUGAAAGCCCGGGGCCCAACCCCGGAAUUGCAGCCGAUACUGUCUGGCUAGAGUCCCGGAGAGGAAGGCAGAAUUCCCGGUGUAGGGGUGAAAUCCGUAGAUAUCGGGAGGAAUACCAGCGGCGAAGGCGGCCUUCUGGACGGUGACUGACGCUGAGACGCGAAAGCGUGGGGAGCAAACAGGAUUAGAUACCCUGGUAGUCCACGCCGUAAACGAUGAGAACUAGAUGUCGGGAGGAUUUAGCCUUUCGGUGUCGCAGCUAACGCGUUAAGUUCUCCGCCUGGGGAGUACGCCGGCAACGGUAAAACUCAAAGGAAUUGACGGGGACCCGCACAAGCGGUGGAGCAUGUGGUUUAAUUCGAUGCAACGCGAAGAACCUUACCAGCCCUUGACAUCCUCGGAACUUUGCAGAGAUGCAUUGGUGCCUUCGGGAAUCGAGUGACAGGUGCUGCAUGG
RNAcentral lists this ribosomal RNA (516 nucleotides) under uncultured bacterium. RNAcentral's name for it is "bacterial SSU rRNA". It matches the Rfam family "Bacterial small subunit ribosomal RNA", at positions 534 to 1048 of the family's 1533-position model. The record is from RNAcentral.